RNAcentral lists this ribosomal RNA (235 nucleotides) under Escherichia coli. Its description in RNAcentral is "partial 23S ribosomal RNA". The record is from RNAcentral. Lineage: Bacteria; Pseudomonadati; Pseudomonadota; Gammaproteobacteria; Enterobacterales; Enterobacteriaceae.
AAACCGUGUACGUACAAGCAGUAGGAGCCCCAUCACUCAAGUGCCUCGCACUGAGUGAUGCAAGAACAUCACCGAAAAUAGCGCCGAAUUUGCUAACAAGGUUGGUCGAUUUUUUCAAGCCGUCGCGCAGUGUACCUAGAAGUACACGAGCAACGGAAGUUAAAAAAUCGGGCAAGAUUGAACGCAAAGGAAAGCGGGACAUUUGAGGAUGGGGUGACUGCGUACCUUUUGUAUA